This 253-nucleotide ribosomal RNA is filed under the name uncultured bacterium. RNAcentral describes it as "partial 16S ribosomal RNA". It matches the Rfam family "Bacterial small subunit ribosomal RNA", at positions 524 to 776 of the family's 1533-position model. The record is from RNAcentral.
UACGGGGGGAGCAAGCGUUGUUCGGAUUUACUGGGCGUAAAGGGCGCGUAGGCGGUAGCACAAGUCAGUUGUGAAAUCUCCGGGCUUAACUCGGAAAGGUCAACUGAUACUGUGCGACUAGAGUGCAGAAAGGGCAACUGGAAUUCUCGGUGUAGCGGUGAAAUGCGUAGAUAUCGAGAGGAACACCUGCGGCGAAGGCGGGUUGCUGGGCUGACACUGACGCUGAGGCGCGAAAGCCAGGGGAGCGAACGGG